UACAGAGGGUGCAAGCGUUAAUCGGAAUUACUGGGCGUAAAGCGCACGUAGGCGGAUCGAUCAGUCAGGGGUGAAAAUCCCAGAGCUCAACUCUGGAACUGCCUUUGAUACUGUCGAUCUGGAGUAUGGAAGAGGUGAGUGGAAUUCCGAGUGUAGAGGUGAAAUUCGUAGAUAUUCGGAAGAACACCAGUGGCGAAGGCGACUUACUGGACACAUAUUGACGCUGAGGUGCGAAAGCGUGGGGGAGCAAACAGG
Molecule: ribosomal RNA, 255 nt
Filed under: uncultured bacterium
Lineage: Bacteria
Description: partial 16S ribosomal RNA
Rfam family: Bacterial small subunit ribosomal RNA
Source: RNAcentral